RNAcentral lists this ribosomal RNA (253 nucleotides) under uncultured bacterium. Its description in RNAcentral is "partial 16S ribosomal RNA". It matches the Rfam family "Bacterial small subunit ribosomal RNA", at positions 524 to 776 of the family's 1533-position model. The record is from RNAcentral.
UACGUAGGGGGCGAGCGUUGUCCGGAUUCAUUGGGCGUAAAGCGCGCGUAGGCGGCUCCGCAAGUCGGCCGUGAAAUCUCCAGGCUCAACUUGGAGGGGUCGGGCGAGACUGCGGAGCUCGAGGUGGGCAGAGGGCAGUGGAAUUCCGGGUGUAGUGGUGGAAUGCGUAGAGAUCCGGAGGAACACCAGUGGCGAAGGCGGGUCUCUGGACAGUUCCUGACACUGAGACACGAAGGCCAGGGGAGCAAACGGG